UAAGGUAAAUAUGGGAGCUUCUAACUCUUUUUAUGGGCAGUUCGAGUCUGUUCGUCCCUUAU
Molecule: transfer RNA, 62 nt
Filed under: Hiatula acuta
Lineage: Eukaryota; Metazoa; Mollusca; Bivalvia; Cardiida; Psammobiidae
Description: tRNA-Ser
Source: RNAcentral